RNAcentral lists this transfer RNA (93 nucleotides) under Streptomyces antimycoticus. RNAcentral's name for it is "tRNA-Arg". Lineage: Bacteria; Bacillati; Actinomycetota; Actinomycetes; Kitasatosporales; Streptomycetaceae. The record is from RNAcentral.
CUCGGGGUAGGGCGCGAGGAGCAGACCCGUCGGGGCUUGCGGGGCCGUCUCGACGAGGCGGGCGAACGCGUCGUACCGUUCGGCGCCCCGAGU